AGUGAACGCUGGCGGUAGGCCUAACACAUGCAAGUCGAACGGCAGCACAGUAAGAGCUUGCUCUUACGGGUGGCGAGUGGCGGACGGGUGAGGAAUACAUCGGAAUCUACUUUUUCGUGGGGGAUAACGUAGGGAAACUUACGCUAAUACCGCAUACUACCUACGGGUGAAAGCAGGGGAUCUUCGGACCUUGCGCGAUUGAAUGAGCCGAUGUCGGAUUAGCUAGUUGGCGGGGUAAAGGCCCAACAAGGCGAAGAUCCGUAGCCGGUCUGAGAGGAGGAUUCGCCCAAAUGGAACUGGGAACCGGUCCAGAACCCUAAGGGAGGGAACAGUUGGGAAUAUUGGACAAUGGGCGGAAGCCUGAUCCAGCCAUACCGGGGGGGUGAAGAAGGCCUUCGGGUUGUAAAGCCCCUGUGUUGGGAAAGAAAAGCAGCAGGUUAAUACCCCGCUGUUCUGACGGUACCCAAAGAAUAAGCACCGGCUAACUUCGUG
This 492-nucleotide ribosomal RNA is filed under the name uncultured bacterium. RNAcentral's name for it is "partial 16S ribosomal RNA". It matches the Rfam family "Bacterial small subunit ribosomal RNA", at positions 29 to 507 of the family's 1533-position model. The record is from RNAcentral.